Molecule: ribosomal RNA, 203 nt
Filed under: uncultured bacterium
Lineage: Bacteria
Description: partial 16S ribosomal RNA
Rfam family: Bacterial small subunit ribosomal RNA
Source: RNAcentral
ACGCUCGACACCUACGGGAGGCAGCAGUGGGGAAUAUUGCACAAUGGGGGAAACCCUGAUGCAGCGACGCCGCGUGAGCGAAGAAGUAUUUCGGUAUGUAAAGCUCUAUCAGCAGGGAANAAACUGACGGUACCUGACUAAGAAGCACCGGCUAAAUACGUGUCAGCAGCCGGACGGUAAUCUGACGGCGGGCUGGACAAGGC